This 551-nucleotide ribosomal RNA is filed under the name uncultured bacterium. RNAcentral's name for it is "partial 16S ribosomal RNA". It matches the Rfam family "Bacterial small subunit ribosomal RNA", at positions 355 to 920 of the family's 1533-position model. The record is from RNAcentral.
UGGGGAAUAUUGCACAAUGGGCGAAAGCCUGAUGCAGCAACGCCGCGUGAGUGAUGAAGGUCUUCGGAUUGUAAAGCUCUGUCUUUUGGGACGAUAAUGACGGUACCAAAGGAGGAAGCCACGGCUAACUACGUGCCAGCAGCCGCGGUAAUACGUAGGUGGCGAGCGUUGUCCGGAUUUACUGGGCGUAAAGGGUGCGUAGGCGGAUGUUUAAGUGAGAUGUGAAAUACCCGGGCUUAACUUGGGUGCUGCAUUUCAAACUGGAUAUCUAGAGUGCAGGAGAGGAGAAUGGAAUUCCUAGUGUAGCGGUGAAAUGCGUAGAGAUUAGGAAGAACACCAGUGGCGAAGGCGAUUCUCUGGACUGUAACUGACGCUGAGGCACGAAAGCGUGGGUAGCAAACAGGAUUAGAUACCCUGGUAGUCCACGCCGUAAACGAUGAGUACUAGGUGUAGGAGGUAUCGACCCCUUCUGUGCCGUAGUAAACACAUUAAGUACUCCGCCUGGGAAGUACGAUCGCAAGAUUAAAACUCUAAAGUGAAUUGACGGGGUC